GCGCGUCGUGUCAGGUACUAGGUGACUCUGAGUGGAAUGGUCUCAGAGACGCCUCGUGCCUCAGCACGGCGGCGC
Molecule: microRNA precursor, 75 nt
Filed under: Heliconius melpomene (postman butterfly)
Lineage: Eukaryota; Metazoa; Arthropoda; Insecta; Lepidoptera; Nymphalidae
Description: mir-306 microRNA precursor family
Rfam family: mir-306 microRNA precursor family
Source: Rfam by way of RNAcentral